CAUAACCAUAAGUCUUUUUUUAUGGCUUCUUCUGCUCACUGAUAAGUAAUUAAAGAGCCGCAGUACCUUGACUGUGCAAAGGUAGCAUAAUCAGUUGGCUUUUAAUUGGGGUCUGGAAUGAAUGAAUGUAUGGGGAGUAACUGUCUCUGUGUGAUAUGAGGAAAUUGGUUAGGAGGUGCAAAUACCUCUAGGGAAAAAUUAGACGAGAAGACCCUAGAAAUUUUAAACUAUAUUUUGUUGGGGCGACAGAGUAACAUGCGAACUUACUUAGUAGUAUCGGUAAUUUAUAUAUAGUAAGAUUAAAUUACUCUAGGGAUAACAGCAUAAUUUCUUAAAGUUUGUGACCUCGAUGUUGGACUAGGGUACAGUGUUGCCUAGAAGGUACC
Molecule: ribosomal RNA, 386 nt
Filed under: Neohelix albolabris
Lineage: Eukaryota; Metazoa; Mollusca; Gastropoda; Stylommatophora; Polygyridae
Description: partial large subunit ribosomal RNA
Rfam family: Bacterial large subunit ribosomal RNA
Source: RNAcentral